Long non-coding RNA from Protopterus annectens (West African lungfish), 176 nucleotides. RefSeq lists it as uncharacterized. The transcript is spliced from 2 exons. Lineage: Eukaryota; Metazoa; Chordata; Ceratodontiformes; Protopteridae. The record is from RefSeq and is a predicted model, not a curated record.
AGAACCAAUAAACAAUUCCAUUGCAGCAUUACAGGAACCAUCUGUAGUAGCUAAAGAAGGAUCCUUGGAAGUGACUGAAGAAAUAUAGCAGAAAAGGAUAAAUUGGAUCGCAUUAAUCUAGAAGAAAGGAAACAUACAAACAAACACAUUUUUCACAUUAAAAAUGACUAAACCUA